Molecule: unclassified non-coding RNA, 115 nt
Filed under: uncultured fungus
Lineage: Eukaryota; Fungi
Description: sequence contains ITS1
Source: RNAcentral
CAUCCACAAGACGUUAGCGUCGUCCUUCCCGACCUCCAAGGCACGCGCGGCCAGCUGAAGCCCUGCCGCCGUCUCUGCCUCGACCUGCUCCGCCCACCCCUGUUGUCGCCGCUCG